Molecule: ribosomal RNA, 253 nt
Filed under: uncultured prokaryote
Description: partial 16S ribosomal RNA
Rfam family: Bacterial small subunit ribosomal RNA
Source: RNAcentral
UACGUAGGGACCAAGCGUUGUUCGGAUUUACUGGGCGUAAAGGGCGCGUAGGCGGCCUUCUAAGUCGAACGUGAAAUCCCCGGGCUCAACCCGGGAACUGCGUCCGAUACUGGAAGGCUUGAAUCCGGGAGAGGGAUGUGGAAUUCCAGGUGUAGCGGUGAAAUGCGUAGAUAUCGAGAGGAACACCAGUGGCGAAGGCGAGUCCUUGGACAAUACCUGACACUGAGGCACGAAAGCCAGGGGAGCAAACGGG